ACUCAAAUGAAUUGACGGGGGCCAGCACAAGCGGUGGAACAUGUGGUUCAAUUCGAUGCUACGCGAAGAACCUUACCCAGGCUUGACAUGCUUGAAGUAGGAACCUGAAAGGGUGACGACUCGUAACCAGUCGAGAACUUGCACAGGUGCUGCAUGGCUGUCGUCAGCUCGUGCCGUGAGGUGUUGGCUUAAGUGCCACAACGAGCGCAACCAUUGCUGAUAGUUGCCACCGGGUCCCGCAAGGGAUGCCGAGCACUCUAUCGGGACUGCCAGCGACGAGCUGGAGGAAGGUGGUGAUGACGUCAAGUCCGUACGGCCUUUAUGCCUGGGGCUACACACGUGUUACAAUGGCGUUGACAACGCGCUGCUAACCCGCGAGGGCAUGCUAAUCGCUAAAACGACGCCUCAGUUCGGAUCGCAGGCUGCAAUUCGCCUGCGUGAAGCCGGAAUCGCUAGUAAUGGCGGAUCAGCUACGCCGCCAUGAAUACGUUCCCUGGCCUUGCACACACCGCCCGU
Molecule: ribosomal RNA, 516 nt
Filed under: uncultured bacterium
Lineage: Bacteria
Description: partial 16S ribosomal RNA
Rfam family: Bacterial small subunit ribosomal RNA
Source: RNAcentral